UAUCUGCCGUGGGUGUAGGAAUAUUGACAGGAUCUGUCCCUAGUACGAGAGGACCGGGAUGGACGCACCGCUGGUGUACCAGUUGUAUCGCCAGAUGCAUGGCUGGAUAGCUAAGUGCGGAACGGAUAAGCGCUGAAAGCAUCUAAGCGCGAAGCCAACCUCAAGAUGAGAUCUCCCACAGAGUUAAUCUGGUAAGACCCCUUAUAGAAGAUGAGGUAGAUAGGCCGGAUGUGUAAGGGCAGUAAUGUCUUAAGCUGACCGGUACUAAUGGUUCGAGGGCUUGACCUACAA
This 291-nucleotide ribosomal RNA is filed under the name Bacillota bacterium. Its description in RNAcentral is "Firmicutes bacterium (anaerobic digester metagenome) partial 23S ribosomal RNA". It matches the Rfam family "Bacterial large subunit ribosomal RNA", at positions 2639 to 2925 of the family's 2925-position model. The record is from RNAcentral. Lineage: Bacteria; Bacillati; Bacillota.